UUCACCCAAUGGUCCAAGGUUUUUAACGAUUUUUUACCAUACUUAACUCUCCAACUAAUAGUUUUUGAGAACUUUUGCGAUACUCUAAUUGGUUUUUCCGUGAAGCUCUCUUUCUUUACGCAUAGGUACGGAAAGUAUGGCGAAAAAGUCCCAUAGAUACAAAAUUCUUCAAGAGGCAGAUCAGUCCGUAACUUCGAGGAGCUUUAUAGAUAUCUACAUAAAUAUCAGACGGGAUCAUCUAUAACUUCAUAAGUAAAACUAAUUUUAAUAUUAUUAGUGAUGUUGCUUUUUAAAUGCUAAAUACUUUGUAGGGACUUGAGAUGUUGGUAUAAUAUUAUGAUAGAUAUUUAAUGUCAAGUGUAGAUAUUACUUAAGUAAUGGUUCUUAAAGAUUUAAAAAUGCUUUAUACUGUUCAAAUACCUAUGUAGUAGUAAAAAUUAAGUACUUUCAGUUAAUACGUCUUUUUGUUUGUUUAAAAGCUUCUAGGUUGCUUACUCUGGUUUAUUGUAUGUUCAUAUUGUUAUCGAAUUCUUAAGUACAGAUUAUAAUAAUUACUUGAGCUAUCAAAAUUAUCACACGAAUUAUCUACUUAAUAAUAGUAGUAAGUAGUCGUGAAAAAACACAAAAAUAAAUAAAAAGAUAGUUUAAAUAAAACCUAACGUAAAAUGCAGAAGCAAGAACACAAUACUAAAAAGGAAUAAGUAUCAUAAUUAAGUAGGUAUAAAAAUAAGUAGGGACAAGUAUGCGACCUCACAUCGCUAAUUGCUAAGUACUUAAAAUUAAGAAAAGGCUAAAAAAAGCCAAUAUAUAAUAUUUUCUAAGAAAAAGCCGUUAAAGCAAAACAUCAUCCGUAAAACGACCACAAUAUCUAAUAAAUUGUAAAUGGCAUUGGGAAUGCUAGAAUAAUGUAAGUAAAUAUUUUACCUCAAAUAUUUAAAAUUAUAAUCUAUUAAAUAUCCGUCUGUAAUAUUAGGUUCAAUAAAAUAUUUAAUACAAAAUGGAAUAGGUUGGAGAUAUUGUUUUGCACAUUACAAGAUUCAAAAAUGUUUACGUUAUGGCAGAGCUUUUGAUUUAAAACUUUAUAAUAUCGUCUGUUGAAUAAGUCGAAGCCCUAUAAUAUUUAACGCUUCUGCCAUAUAUUUAAUUCUACCAACGCAUAAUAUGAAACACUACCGUCAGUUUUUCCGCACGAUCACACUAAGGGCAUUUUUUGUGUUUAUAGCAACUGCAAUAA
Maniola jurtina (meadow brown) is the source of this 1234-nucleotide long non-coding RNA. RefSeq lists it as uncharacterized. Lineage: Eukaryota; Metazoa; Arthropoda; Insecta; Lepidoptera; Nymphalidae. The transcript has 2 exons. The record is from RefSeq and is a predicted model, not a curated record.